Molecule: ribosomal RNA, 492 nt
Filed under: uncultured bacterium
Lineage: Bacteria
Description: partial 16S ribosomal RNA
Rfam family: Bacterial small subunit ribosomal RNA
Source: RNAcentral
AGUGAACGCUGGCGGUAGGCCUAACACAUGCAAGUCGAACGGCAGCACAGUAAGAGCUUGCUCUUACGGGUGGCGAGUGGCGGACGGGUGAGGAAUACAUCGGAAUCUACCUUUUCGUGGGGGAUAACGUAGGGAAACUUACGCUAAUACCGCAUACGACCUACGGGUGAAAGCAGGGGAUCUUCGGACCUUGCGCGAUUGAAUGCGCCGAUGUCGGAUUAGCUAGUUGGCGGGGUAAAGGCCCACCAAGGCGACGAUCCGUAGCUGGUCUGAGAGGAGGAUCAGCCACACUGGAACUGAGACACGGUCCAGACUCCUACGGGAGGCAGCAGUGGGGAAUAUUGGACAAUGGGCGCAAGCCUGAUCCAGCCAUACCGCGUGGGUGAAGAAGGCCUUCGGGUUGUAAAGCCCUUUUGUUGGGAAAGAAAAGCAGCAGGUUAAUACCCCGCUGUUCUGACGGUACCCAAAGAAUAAGCACCGGCUAACUUCGUG